RNAcentral lists this ribosomal RNA (253 nucleotides) under uncultured bacterium. RNAcentral describes it as "partial 16S ribosomal RNA". It matches the Rfam family "Bacterial small subunit ribosomal RNA", at positions 524 to 776 of the family's 1533-position model. The record is from RNAcentral.
UACGUAGGGGGCAAGCGUUAUCCGGAUUUACUGGGUGUAAAGGGAGCGUAGACGGCGAUGCAAGCCAGAUGUGAAAGCCCGGGGCUCAACCCCGGGACUGCAUUUGGAACUGUGUGGCUGGAGUGUCGGAGAGGCAGGCGGAAUUCCUAGUGUAGCAGUGAAAUGCGUAGAUAUUAGGAGGAACACCAGUGGCGAAGGCGGCCUGCUGGACGAUGACUGACGUUGAGGCUCGAAAGCGUGGGGAGCAAACAGG